ACUCAUAUGGCAGUCAAAACUCCGAGACAGAUCCUAACAGGAAGUGGAAAUCUGAUUUGUGGAAUCACCUUCAACACUUUGCCUAUGAAACACACCGUGAGUUAGGAUUCAUUGAGCACUUCCCAAGGCUUCCACUAGAUGUCAACAGUCUUUACAAAGUGGUUUGAGUCUUCUCCGGUAGAAAUAUUUUUUUUUUUGCACAUUCGUGACGACAAGUCCCGUGCGCCUCGUACAUUAUGAGUAGCCUUCGGAACGCGCUAACAAGAAGGAGCUAUUGGGACAUAAAUUAUUAACUUUUUCGAACAAAACUACAUUUGUUGUGGACCUGGGAUUCCUGAAAGUGCCUUCUGAUGAAGAUAAUCAAAGGACGUGCAGACUGGCAGUCCCCAUGUUGAAAGGACAAAGACCACCUACAGAACUAAGCCAACAUCAGCAAGAACCUAAUGCAAUUGGCAUCGAAUUUCAAUGUGAAGGUGACGACCUACACGCCAGGAGGAUGAAUUUCAACUAUACCAGCCAGAAUAUAGCAUGAGCUUAAAAGUAUGGCAACUUGGUCACCACUAGACAGUCUUCAGAGGACCAGAGAUCCAUGCUGGACAACCUGGCCUCCCAUCUACGACCAACCGAUCGAAGUGCAGCUCAGAGACCUGAGCCCUAGGACCAUGCCUCAGGACUACCUGGCAUGAUGACUCCUUGCUGUCCCCAGUCCACCUGGCCAUGCUGCUGCUCCAGUUUCAACUGUUCUGCCUGCGGCUAUGGAACCCUGACCUGUUCACCGGACGUGCUUGUUGCACCCUCGACAACUACUAUGAUUAUUAUUAUUUGACCAUGCUGGUCAUUUAUGAACAUUUUAACAUUUUGACCAUGUUCUGUUAUAAUAUCCACCCGGCACAGCCAGAAGAGGACUGGCCACCCCUCAUAGCCUGGUUCCUCUCUAGGUUUCUUCCUAGGUUUUUGGCCUUUCUAGGGAGUUUUUCCUAGGGAGUUUUUCCUAGCCACCGUGCUUCUUUCACAUGCAUUGCUUGCUGUUUGGGGUUUUAGGCUGGGUUUCUGUACAGCACUUUGAGAUAUCAGCUGAUGUAUGUAGGGCUAUAUAAAUACAUUUGAUUUGAUUUGAUUUAAGUUUGGGGUUGUUUUUCAGGGUUUUUUUUGUUUGAGGUGCAUUUCGGGGUCUGCACCUUUGGGGGGGGGGGGGGGGUACUGUCACGUCCUUACCAGUAAAAGGGGUUAUUUCUUAUUGUAGUUUGGUCAGGGCGUGGCAGGGGGUGUUUUUCUGUGUGUUUUCGGGUUAUGAUCUAUGUUCUUCUAUUUCUAUGUUUAUUCUAGGGUAUCUAUUUCUAUGUUGGAAUUGUUUGGGGUUGGUCUCUAAUUGGAGGCAGCUGAAUCUCGUUGCCUCUGAUUAGAGACCAUAUUUAAGUAGUUUUUUUUUUCAUUGUGUUUGUGGGUGGUUACAUUUCUGUUUAGUUGUCUAACCUGACAGAACUGUGGGCUGUCGUUUUUGUUUCUUUGUUUAUAGUGUUCUCUGUUUAAUAAAUACAAGAUGAGCACUAACCACGCUGCGCCGUGGUCUACUCCCUUCAAC
Molecule: long non-coding RNA, 1582 nt
Filed under: Salmo salar (Atlantic salmon)
Lineage: Eukaryota; Metazoa; Chordata; Actinopteri; Salmoniformes; Salmonidae
Description: lncRNA (ENSSSAG00000094223.1)
Source: RNAcentral